GAUGAACGCUGGCGGCGUGCCUAAUACAUGCAAGUCGAGCGAACAGACGAGGAGCUUGCUCCUCUGACGUUAGCGGCGGACGGGUGAGUAACACGUGGAUAACCUACCUAUAAGACUGGGAUAACUUCGGGAAACCGGAGCUAAUACCGGAUAAUAUAUUGAACCGCAUGGUUCAAUAGUGAAAGACGGUUUUGCUGUCACUUAUAGAUGGAUCCGCGCCGCAUUAGCUAGUUGGUAAGGUAACGGCUUACCAAGGCAACGAUGCGUAGCCGACCUGAGAGGGUGAUCGGCCACACUGGAACUGAGACACGGUCCAGACUCCUACGAGAGGCAGCAGUAGGGAAUCUUACGCAAUAGGCGAAAACCUGGCGGAGCAACGCCGCGUGAGUGAUGAAGGUCUUCGGAUCGUAAAGCUCUGUUAUUAGGGAAGAACAAAUGUGUAAGUAACUAUGCACGUCUUGACGGUACCUAAUCAGAAAGCCACGGCUAACUACGUG
This 497-nucleotide ribosomal RNA is filed under the name uncultured bacterium. Its description in RNAcentral is "partial 16S ribosomal RNA". It matches the Rfam family "Bacterial small subunit ribosomal RNA", at positions 28 to 507 of the family's 1533-position model. The record is from RNAcentral.